RNAcentral lists this ribosomal RNA (254 nucleotides) under uncultured bacterium. RNAcentral describes it as "partial 16S ribosomal RNA". It matches the Rfam family "Bacterial small subunit ribosomal RNA", at positions 15 to 299 of the family's 1533-position model. The record is from RNAcentral.
GAUCCUGGCUCAGAACGAACGCUGGCGGCAGGCCUAACACAUGCAAGUCGAGCGCACCUUCGGGUGAGCGGCGGACGGGUGAGUAUCGCGUGGGAACGUGCCCUUCUCUACGGAAUAGUCCUGGGAAACUGGGGGUAAUACCGUAUACGCCCUUUGGGGGAAAGAUUUAUCGGAGAAGGAUCGGCCCGCGUUGGAUUAGGUAGUUGGUGGGGUAAUGGCUCACCAAGCCGACGAUCCAUAGCUGGUUUGAGAGG